UACAGAGGUCUCCAGCGUUGUUCGGAUUCAUUGGGCGUAAAGGGUGCGUAGGUGGCGCCGUAAGUCAGGUGUGAAAUUUCGGAGCUUAACUCCGAAACUGCAUUUGAUACUGCGGUGCUUGAGGACUGGAGAGGAGACUGGAAUUUACGGUGUAGCAGUGAAAUGCGUAGAGAUCGUAAGGAAGACCAGUGGCGAAGGCGGGUCUCUGGACAGUUCCUGACACUGAGGCACGAAGGCCAGGGGAGCAAACGGG
Molecule: ribosomal RNA, 253 nt
Filed under: uncultured bacterium
Lineage: Bacteria
Description: partial 16S ribosomal RNA
Rfam family: Bacterial small subunit ribosomal RNA
Source: RNAcentral